GGUUGAUACACACCGUCUCCCAUCUGUUCGUGAAGAGAGAGAGCACCUGCGCGCGCCUUUCUCUUUCUGUUUCACUUGAUCGUUGGUCUGUGGCUUGUGCGUGGACUCGUCCCCCUGUCCCUGCAUCUUAGUCAUCACGGGCACGCAGCGCGCGUGCGCAGACACGCACCAGCACAGUGACUCCCCAACCACGUCCCCACACCCACAGGCAAACACACACGCACGCCAGUGAAGCGUUCUUCGACGGCACACGCACAUAAGCAUACACAUACACACGAACAAAGAACCCCCUUCCCUCCCUCACAAAAAGGGAAACUCGCAAGCGUUCAUAUCUUCCCAUUUCUUCUUCCUCCCCCCUACCACUUCAUACACCAUUACCAGCAAGCCCCCCCCGUCUCUUUGUCUCUCCUUUCUCCAGCUAUUUUUGAUUGUCUUCCUCUUGAAGUGUCUAAGCAGGUCAAGAGCGCGCCGCACACCUCGAACCCUCGCUCUCCAACACCUGAGUUUGUGCAUGUAUGUGUGCAUGUUGGUGUGUGGGUGUCUGCGUGUACUCUUCAGAUUUUCCUCUUUCGUUUCUUUUUUCUCUCUGUCACUCUCUUCGUCUUGUGUUUUCUGUGUGUGUUGUGUGUGUUUCUGGUGGUGUUGGUGCCUGUCCUCUCCAUCAGGCUACUUGGCGUGCGUUUGCCUGUACGUUUCUCUGCUCUUUUCUUUUUGUGUGUGGGCGGUGGUGGUGGUGGUAUUUGUCUCUCGUUUUCGUUUCUCCGGUCCAUCCCUACUUUCAUUGUGUGUGAUUCUUUUUCCGCUUGCGCUCUUUCAUGCACGCACUCUUUUCCUGCUGCCUCCAUCACGCCUCCUCCUCCUCUCUCUUGCUCUGUCACUAUCGCGGCGCCUGUGAGAGAUCACCCCGCCCACCCACCCCUUUCUAUUAAUUUCUCGUUGUCUUCUCGUUUCUCACACCCCGUCGUGCUGUGGCUCUCUUGCUUCGUUGUUCUCUCCAUUUUUUUCGUCUUUUAUUGGCCCCCCCCCUUCUGCUACUGUCUUUCUUUCUCUUCCGAGUGGGUGCGCAUGUGAGUCUUCAUCGCCCCCCUUUGCCUUCCCCGCACUUCCUGCCCUCUCUUUCCUUCAACUCCGCCACUCUACCUCUGCGUGCGGGCCUCGCGUUAUCGCUGCCUGUUCCUGUGUUUUACUUCCCUUCCCCCUCCCUCUUUUAUCGCGACGGCAAACGUUUUUCGUUGCGCUGUGGUUUGGUAAAGCGGACCGCUGGGGAACGGUUUGGCGCGUACUCGGUCCUCGCUGUCCCGAGUGCUGCUUUGCCGUCGUCCGGAGCGCGCACAUCACCCAUCGCCUCCAGAAGCGCCGCACACACAUUACGCACCGCAAUACAUACACGCGCACGCCAGGUGAAAAAAGGGGUAUGCGCCAUGGAUGGCGACCGCUACAUCUACUCUCGUCCUGUGGCGGUGACGGAGGACCGAAUCAAGGAGGCCUUAGAGAAGCAGGCAAAGCAGAAGGCUCUCAAGGCGGCGCUUGAUCGGCAAGUGCGGGAGGCCGAGCGGCUGAAGGCGGAGAAGCACCGUGCCAAAGGAAAGCAGGACAAGCGGUGGGGUGACCCCAAGGUGAAUGUGCCGCCGACCUCUUCUUCGGCGAAUGCGGAGAACAAAACGCAGACCGCCUCCACGGCGGUCGCAGCAUCUGUAGCCGGCCCUUCUCCCCCGACGAUGGGCACCACAGUUGCCCCGGGGGCUGUUGAAUCCACUCGAUACAACUUCUCCUUCCGCAAAGGCCAAGGAACAUUUGAAGUGGAUGGCUCCCCUGCACGUCGCCUCCGGACUACGUUCCAGACAUCUGCAGAAGCGCGUGAGCGCGGCGGUGGUGCUGCGCCUCCGGGAACCGGUGGUGAAAACGGCAAAGCUCCCGCGCCUCGAGGACGUCGGCAGCCAGCAUCGCGCGACGCCAGCAGCGGCGCGGGUCCGUGCAACACUCGUGGCAGCAGGUCAACGGCUGCCGCAAACGGCGGUGAAUACCAAACGAACUCGCUGCCUAUAAACUUUAGCAUGACAAAGGAGGGCGCAGGCAAGAAGGCGCCGCCGCUCGAGCGCCGCCCAAGCGACUGUGGUCGACUCACUUGUGGCACGUCGGGAGAGCGCGGUGGCGGCAGCGACGCAAGUGGGCACAGCAGGAACAAAGGUAAUGGCGGCUACGAUACGCAGUCUUUACCGACAGAGCUCAUCUACAAGUUGGGGCAAGCUAGCAGCAACGCCGCCGUGGCCAAGCCGUCGCUGCGUCGUGUCACGACCCCUUUGCGGGCCCCGUCUAGCGGCCGCACGUCAGAGCCGCGCGGGCACCAGUCGCCACUGGGCCUUCUAACCGGUGCCGUGUCUGGCAGCCCCAUGACGGCAGGCCGAGAAAACUUCAAAUCACCUCUCAAUGACUGCACGAAAAGCCCUGACUAUGCUGGCGUUGGAGGCGCUCACCCUCGCUUGUCACCUGGCGGCGGCUUGAAGGCCGUGCCGCGGGUGCUGGGCAGCGGUGGCGGCACUCCGAAUGCGAAGGCUCUGGGCGCCCGGUAUGUGUCACCGCGUCCGACUGCCCGACUGGCUGGUGGCAUCCUCCCUCCGCUCAACCCUCACAACGACUCUGACGUGAUUGAGAUGUCCGCCGUGCUCGACGUGGUGACGCCUACGCGCGAGUACAGCGUUAUUGGCACCGCGACCGGUGCACUCAGCGGCCGCACGCCUGGUAGCGCAGCACCACCACUGCCUUGCAAGCGGACGAACAGCACCCCUGCCGAGCGACCUGCACGUCGAUCGCCUCCGGAGUCCCCGCAUGCUGCCGCGGCAGCGGAGCAGGAGCGUAAACAGGCAGAGCGAGAGAAGGCGUGGGCGCAGCAGGUGAAGCAGAUCAAAGCAGAACUGCGAAAGACACGCGCGAAGGGGCCGGGCAAGGGCGGUAUGAAGCUUGAGGACCGGGGGGCUAUGAGCAAUAUUCCACGGCGUGCCGAGACGGCACCAGACCCAGCACCGCAUCCACCAAUGCGGGGAGCCCUCGGCGGCGCAGCAGGGGGUGGUGCCAGUGGUGCUGGCGGUGCUCAUGGUCGAAACGGUGCUGGUGGUGGGGGCAAGGGCAACGUUGGUGGCGGUCGCUCACACCAGGUAGAGAAGAUGGACUUCGCGAAGGCGCACAUCUUCACACGCGAGAACUUUCGGCCGAUCACCGCCCCUGAGGAUGCCACCUCCUACUUUGGAAUGCUGUCGCCGCCUCCCUCGCUCCCACCGCUGGCGCUGGCACCAAAAUUCAAGUCCCGUGAGCAGGCGCGGUCGAGCAGCGAGUCAGUCAGGGAAGCGGAGAGAAAAGAGGAGGCGAUCGGAACCGAGGCGGCCUCCUCGCCAAGCAUCAACGGCAUUCACACCUUUGCGAGCACCGGCACCUCAGGCGAAGAGUCACUAAAGCUGGCGUCGCUGACGACACGUCAAGUGACGCUGGGACUGCCAGACUAUGGCGACAGCGAUCCCGUACCCAUCCAGUUCAACCACCUCCUAGAGUUUGUUGAGGCUCAAAUUAUCACGGCGAGUCAAGCGGAGAACUUGUGGGACUUCUUUUCUGCGUCGGCGGAUGUGGCGCGUGGCGGUGGAAGCGGCAGCGAUGCUGGACGUGCGGGGUCGUCGUUUUCAGUCAGUAGCGCGCGGGACAUGUGGGGCCGUGCGGCGCGUGGCGACGUGAACGGCGCCGUGGGCGAGGGGAAGCCGAGCACAUUAGAGAUAGAGGCGGUCGACGAGCGACCCGCGGCGAGCGGCGUCGGCGCCACCAAGGGCGACGAGAACGUCAAAGGUGACAACGGAAGAGUCUUUUACGUCCCGUACUCUCCUUCGCAGCUUCCGACUUCCGCCGUACUGGCACCGGCACUGCGCCGCAAGAUCAGUCAGCAGCACUCGGAGCAGGAGGCAGCGCGGUUGCAUCAGCCAUACAAACCACUGCAAAACGGCCGUCCUUGGCGAAGCUCGUCUGGCGCUGGCGGCAGAGGAGCAAGCGGUGGCCCAGGUGACGGGGAUAGCGGGCAACGCACAGCACCACACAUAGCGCGGGGGUUGCAGAAUCAUUUUUCGACCGCAGCCGAGCCUGGUGACAAAGGCGGUGACGAGGGUCACGGAGGUGCUAACAUGUUCGACACGUUCUCCGAACUGGUACUGCCCACCGACCUGAAAGAUGAAGACAACGGCUAAAGUGCGCUUGUUGUCUCCUUUCCGACGAUGCAUGCUGGAACGCGUUGUGCUAGUAAUCCUACCUCCAACAGCCACGUGCUGCGCACCGGUUGUGCUUGCGCUCUUCCGUUUCUCUCGCUGUUGUCGAGUGCUGCCUCUCUCUCCUUUUGUGAUGUACGCAUAUAUAUAUAUAUAUAUGUGUGUGUGUGUGCGUGUGUGCAUGUGUGUUUGUGUUUGAGUGACGACUGCCGUGGGUUGUCCCUGAGGACACUGCUGCCACGAGUGGGCGACCGCGUGCCUCUCAUUGCCUCGUCUUCGGUGCUCUUCUCCUCCGCACACUACGCCGACUUCUCCGUUCAUGUGUUGCGCGUGACUCACUGGAAGAGGUGAUGCCGAGCGAGUGUCUUUGCACACGAAUUCGAAUGUUUAAUUGCGAAUAGAGCUGAAGUGCAGAGUGGAGCAGGUGCGACAGCAGCACUCUGACUCCAUUAUGUUUAAUAAACAGCCCCGCAGGCAUGCGGUGCGUACUUCUGAGACAGUGUGCAGACAUUUCUUGCGGCCAUUUCCCAACCCUUAUUUCUCGAUGUUCUUGGAGGUGCUGUACACCUUUUUGGGCCGCUGCUCUCUCACGCGCGCACGCAAGCACAGGCACGUACAUGCAGACGUCUCACUUCCUUCGUUCUUUUGGCGAGUGGCGAAAGUGGGAAGAGAAUCAAGCAAAAAGGAGGAGGAGCAAGAAAACAGGCAAGCACGCUGUCUCUGACUCUCUCCGACUCCACCCGUUGCGGCCGCAGUCCCCUUACCAACUCGUGCAGCGUUCCGCGCUCUUCAUCCCGCCCUCUCUUCUCUUUGCGUUGUGGUGAGAGAGCCCUCGAAGUGGCGGAUGGGCGCUGAGCCAGCUUUUCGUUGCGUGAGAGGCGGGAAAGGGUGUGCGGGAUGGAGAUUAGCGCGCGUUCAUGUACGGCCUCUCUCGAGUUUGCUAGGUACGACUGCAAACUAAUGUACUGCACCGUAACGCUCCCCCUUCGCUCUUUUCCUCCUCUUCUGCUCCCGUUAUUGAUCUCCUCCAUAUAUGCUUGCUUUCCUCUGGUGUGCAUGUGUGUCGGUUGGCCCGCUGGGGCCACGUUCAAAACCCGUCGCGCACCCUUCUUCCUGUUCAUGUUCUAAG
This 5367-nucleotide unclassified non-coding RNA is filed under the name Leishmania donovani. RNAcentral describes it as "gene:LdHU3.30.3630(CDS-product:hypothetical_prote in_conserved)". Lineage: Eukaryota; Euglenozoa; Kinetoplastea; Trypanosomatida; Trypanosomatidae. The record is from RNAcentral.